Molecule: non-coding RNA, 88 nt
Organism: Fomitopsis serialis
Lineage: Eukaryota; Fungi; Basidiomycota; Agaricomycetes; Polyporales; Fomitopsidaceae
Source: the annotation of a RefSeq genome assembly
GGGCGUUUAGCACAGUGGUAGCGCGCAUGCUUUGCACACAUUGUGUGAAUAUUGCAUGAGGUCGAGGGUUCAAGCCCCUCAACGUCCA